UGUACAUUUCUCUUUUCACUCAGGAAAUAUGUCCAAUAUGUGGACAAAACUUUCCCAAGAGGACAUACAAUUCCAUGCAAGCUUUUGCGGAGAUGGGUACUAAAUAAAUUUGCCUUCAGCAUGUCUUAUAUUUCAUUAAUUCAAUGUUUUUUACAGUUUUAAUUAUGGUACAGCUGAUUUUCUCAUGGUUUAUUUAAUUGUUUCAAAUUUCAGCAAACAGCAGUCCGUUUCAUGAAGAUGUUGCUGGAGAAGGGACUUCUGGAAUAAAUAAUCUCUUGCAGCAAGGGUCCAGGCAUACAGUGCCACAAAGCACCACUUCCACUGUUGCAGUCAAUCCUGACGAACCAGAAUGGAAGGAAAUAUUCAAUGCUUCAAGUGCAGCAACACUGUUUCGAAGACGUUUGUUGAGAGAGCAAGUGCUGGAGAAACCUAUUCGCUUCUCAAUGGACAUAGAAUCAGGUGUUGAAGACAGAAAAAGCAGAGAAAUACUCGUCAUGCAGGUAAUGCUGAUGUGACAAUGCUUUUUGAGGGGCAAAAGGAUGACCUCAUCCCCUGCGCAUCACAGCCACUAUUGGACUCUGACCUCUUUAGGAUGGCAGGCAGACUGGUGGGGCAUUCUUUCAUUCACGUGGCCCAGGUUUGGCAGGCAUCAGUCCUGCUGUUGUCCAUGUGCUCCUAGGAGGGCAAUUGGAGACAGCAACAUUGGUCCUGGAGGAUUGCCCUGAUCUUGAUCAGAGGAACACUAUCCACUUGCUGGAAGGCAUCAAGGAGCUAUCUGAGGACCAGAAGGCUGAUGUCAAUAGCCUGACAGACAUGUGGGAACUGCCACGACUGACUGAUAACAGAUGAUAUCUUCAUCGGCAGCUUUUGCAGCAUGCGGUAAUGAAAGAGUUUGUUGAAAUUGAUGCUUUUUAACAUACAGUAACUCAAUACUUGGCUGGUUCUGAAUCUGUCAUUUUAUAUUUAUUUAUUUAAUAAAAGGAUCAAAUAUGCUAAAUAUUUUGACUAAAACAUUAUCACAAAAGUGAAAAAAGUUAAAUUUCAUUCAAUUCAGAUCUUACCUUUGUGCAAAUAUUCAGUGUUCCAAUCAAUGGACUGCUGUGUCUAGCUCGACCUUUUUGAGACGUCUAGUUACCCCCACUGAAAGGGUGACGUAAGCCUUCCACUGAGCGUAUUGAUGCUGCUUGCAUGUAUUUAUUUUGAAAAGUCACUACAGUCCGUGAUUUGUAACUUUGGGAACAGACAGGAGCCCAGGACAGCAUUCUAAAGUAAGACCACUGAUUUAUUGUGAAUUAAUCAUUAGCUACAACCCACAAUAUUGAUUUUUCUUCACAUUCUCAGUUAUUGUUUAAUUUGUUAUGUGAAAUGUAUGUAUAUUUGUGUGCAUGUGUGUUACGAUUGUUGCAGAUUCUGGGAAGAACUUCUUCUCAGAGAAAACAAAUGAGAAAGGGCCUAAAAGAAACUGGAGUGUGGCAGAUAUUAUCCGAAAGAAGAGAUGUGGCUGAAGCUGUCUUCCCAUCUGGGAAAGAAGUGAUCUGCAGCCCCCAGGAACAAUACCAAACAAUAUACUUAACUGUCCCCAUGGGGAAACUUGUUUUGGACUCAAAUGCUGUACACAAAUGGCUGCCUCCAUAGUAGUAUAAAAUAAAAUUUAAGCUAAGCAGCAUAUACUUUCAAAUCACAAGCACAAAUUACACAUUGUACAACUAGUGAUAAGAAUGUGCCGCGUUCUUGAAGAAAGUAGUCCAAUCCGGAUCGCUUUUAACUCACUUUAUCUGUUAAAGUAUUUCGGUAUGGUAACUAUGAAGCAAAAGGAGGGGAAUUUUAUCUAACACGCGUGCGAGCGACAACCAGCAGAACUUUAACUCAAGUAUGGCCGGCCGGAUGUUUCUGAACUCAAAUCUCACUGUUUCGCUAGUUAGGUUCAAGUGGGCGUGGCCGGCGUGACAUAAUGGCUACGCCUUCCUCACCUGUCAAAAGGUGCUGCCAUCUGUUGCUGGAGUAGUUAUUGCAGCCUAUGUGUACGAUCCUGCUUCCUAGUGGCUAUGUGGGGGUAAUACAGCUUGUGUGUUCGAUCCUG
Molecule: long non-coding RNA, 2080 nt
Organism: Gadus macrocephalus (Pacific cod)
Lineage: Eukaryota; Metazoa; Chordata; Actinopteri; Gadiformes; Gadidae
Exons: 3
Source: RefSeq, a predicted model, not a curated record